This 429-nucleotide unclassified non-coding RNA is filed under the name Hevea brasiliensis (rubber tree). The record is from RNAcentral. Lineage: Eukaryota; Viridiplantae; Streptophyta; Magnoliopsida; Malpighiales; Euphorbiaceae.
CACCUAGGUAUACCUCUUAUGGGUGAUGAAGUGUACGGAGGUACGAAGAACAUGGCCCUUUCGCUUCUUCAGCCUAAAACACCACCAAUGUUUCAUGGGGAACUUUCACAAUUGGUGUCUCAAAUUGACAGACCUUGCCUCCAUGCUUUAACCCUCGGAUUUAGGCAUCCAUUCACAGGCGAGAAUAUACACUUUACGCGGUUACCCCCUCCUGAUUUUGCUGAGAUAUUAAGCGAGCUACGUGCCAUUAAAACUGAGAAGGUUUUAUGAAUUCAACACAACAUGAUACAUUGUUUUGAUUGAAUGUCCAUGUAAAAGGAGCAGCAGAUUCUUUGAUACUAGAUCAACUUAAUUUUCUCAUACGCUGACAUCUCGAACACAGUUGUGAUAAUGUAAUAGAUAGCUAUAAUGAGUUUAUUCUUUUCUUGU